ACGUGCACGUAACAGCCUGGCAUGUCUCAGUUUAAGCUUUCUAUACGGGCGAAACUGCGAAUAGCUCAUUAAAACAGUUAUAGUUUAUUUGGUGGUCAGCAAUUACAUGGAUAACCGUGGUGAUUCUAGAGCUAAUACACGCGCCCAAACCCGACUUCGUGGAAGGGUUGGUUUAUUAGAUACAGAACCAACCCAGGCUCCGCCUGGCCUUGAGGUGAUUCAUAAUAACCGAACGAAUCGCAUGGCUAUGCCGGCGAUAGACCAUUCAAGUUUCUGACCUAUCAGCUAUCGUCGGUAGGGUAUUGGCCUACCGUGGCAAUGACGGGUAACGGAGAAUUAGGGUUCGAUUCCGGAGAGGGAGCCUGAGAAACGGCUACCACAUCUAAGGAAGGCAGCAGGCGCGCAAAUUACCCAAUCCUGACGCAGGGAGGUAGUGACAAGAAAUAACAAUACAGGGCAUACAUGUCUUGUAAUUGGAAUGAGUAAACUUUAAAUCACUU
Molecule: ribosomal RNA, 500 nt
Filed under: uncultured eukaryote
Lineage: Eukaryota
Description: SSU rRNA
Rfam family: Eukaryotic small subunit ribosomal RNA
Source: RNAcentral